UAUGACGACGUCAUAUUUGUUCUAAUUGUCUCACAGUUAUUCUUUAGCUCAGUUUCUACUUCUUUCUUGGUCUAUGAAUCAUUUUAUUUUGCUCAAAGUGAUUCAAAUUUAUAUUUUAUCAUUUCAUAGAGUUCCUCAUAAUUUUUGGGAUAAUAAUAUAUCACCCUUAUAUUUUUAUCUUAACUCUAUGAGGUAAAUCAUUCAGUGUCUAAAUCAAUUCGUACCGAUUUUAAAAAAAUAUAUAUCUUCUCAAAAUAUAAUUAGAAAAUAUCUCACCAUCCUUAUCCCUCCAUCCACCUCAUCCUCGACUCACUCUCAUUUCUCUCUUCCUCACUAUUUCUUUUUCUUCCUUCACGUUUUCUUUCUUUCUUCAGCAGACCCAUUUCUGCUCUUUCUUCCUUUCUUCUCCUUUUCUUCUUCUUUUCUUUCUUUGUUACCUACUUUAUCUCCUUCUUUUAUUUGCUGCAACAACUCCCCACCGUUCCUCUUUCUCUUUUGAUCAGCAUCUCCACAUCCUUUUCUUCUCCAUGGACAACCAGUCCAUGAGCCACCACCUCUACUCUCCCUCUUGCAACCGCUGAUCACACCAUCACUAUCACCAUGAUUCUUCUCCUUUCUAACUUGCAGCAACAAACAUGGCACCACCACCAAUAUGAAAGCCACACACACCCCUUCUCAUCACAUAUUUGCUCCAUCUUCUAACCACCACCGUUCCUUGCUCUCCAUGGAGCCUAACAAUCCACCAUCUUUGUUCUCCUUCUUCUGGUUUUGAAUGGAGACCCCCAUGAAAGGACCCAAGCACCACCACCGUGAGCUCCACCACGCAGAGGACGCCACCGGCACAUCAUCUUCUCAUUUUCCUUGGUAAAAGCCUUAAUUUCUUGAUUAGUAUGUUUGUAUAUUUGAUUUCUAAAUUUAUCUGGGGUUUAGAUGAAUCAAAAUGGUUUGAGAUAGUGUUAUGGUGCUGAGAACAUGUUGGAAAUUUCAAAACCACGUUCUGUUAUGAAGUCCGUCACAAACAUCAGUUUUUCCGUCACAAAGCUCUGUUUUUCCGUCACUAACAGAACCUGCAGGGGACAAUUCCCUGUUUCGGUUCUCCAACUUGAAAAUUGCAUAACUCUCUCAUCUUUUAUCCGUUUUAGGUGUAUGACCACUUUUUAGAAAGCCCCAAGAGUCUACUUUAAUAUAAAACAUAUUUGAAACUCUUUCUACUGCUAAUUGGCUGAAGAAAAUAUAUAUUUCUAAUGUAAUAUGUUUUACUAAUCUCUUUACGAAGGUUGAGUGGUUGAGUAGAGUUUUAUGUUAAUGUAUUAAGUUUUCUAAAAAGUUUUUUCCUUUGAGUUAAGUGGUUUUGGGGGUUUUAAGGAUUUUGUUUUAAGCCUUAAUGUGCUUGAAAAGCUUUUGCGAAAACUCACAUAAAACUGUUGUUGUUUUCAAAAGUAGUAGCCGCUGUUCUGUUAAAAUCGUAUGUUUCGGUUAAUAUUUUCGAACUGUGUUCUUCAUAAAAGUUGUAGCUUUUUCUGUGAGCAAACUUUUGCCACUGGUUUCGUUUCGUUUCGAUUUGUCUAGCUCAAGUUAUACGCAUUUUGGUGAGCACGGGUUAAGCUGUCCCGUUUCUCACGAACUGCUGUAGUAUUCGAUUUUUCCUGAAUUUUGUACUUUGAAUUUAGACUUGAAAAUUUAUGAGGAUUUACAAAACCUGUAGAUGAAGCCAGGAUAAAAAUAUUAGAUUUUUCGGAGUUCAUUUGACGUAUUUAACAAUUAGCUAAAGUUGCUGUACAGUUUAUAAUCGUUUGACAAAAUUAGUUAUUUCAAGUGAAAAGAAUUGCUUUGGGAAAAAGAUGAGAAAACCUUUUAUUUUAAUCGAUAUUGCAAUGCGUUGGAGUAGGAAGACAUAUUUUUAAACUUACUUACGUACGUUGUUUAUCCGUUUAUGAAAAUAGAGAACGUUUGAGUUCACACACAUUUAUUCGUUAAAAAGCGAUUGCGAAAAGUUUUGAAAGUCGAACAAGUUGUCGGAGUGUUAGGGAAUAAGUGUAUUGAUACUAUCUCGCUAGUCGAUGGAUGCUUAGGAAUAACAAGAUUGGAUAGAGUUAGAGCAAUUAAGUUUGGAUUUCCGAGUGAGGAAUUAGACUCCGAAAGGUAUUAAUUAGAAUAGAUUAAGUUAUGUUUGCAAUCUUGAUGUUGGAAGAUGACUUAGGAUUGAAUCUUGAAUUCCAAGAAGUCUAUGAGCUUUACUAUAAAUACUUGGUUCUAGAAGGUCUAGAUUUGAAACUUUGGAAGUUCAAGGACUUAGAAGUGAUUAAGGGAUUGAUUGAGGACUAGAAGUUAUUUCUUAGAGAUUGAUGACUUAUCUAUAAGUUGGGAUUUUUGUAGAACCAAAGUGGAGUUUCGAAGAGACUAGGGUUGUGUGUCUAAUGAGAUAUCGCGAGUUUAAGUUUAAGAGAAAUGAUUCGAUCGUUUUGAAGGAGCUUAUGAGUCAUGAAUAAGUACAUAAUCAUUAGAUAAGAAGAGUUGGUUGCCUUGGAAGUUAACUAUGGUUUAUGGAUUACUUGAUAAGAGUUAGUGGUUUUGAUAAGAAUUGAUAAUGAUACAACGUUGGCUUGAGGAAUAGAUCGUGAGAGCGAGUUGAGACAUUAAGUUGUUGUAGGUGACUUGAUAAGUAAGUAUUGAGGAUAAAGAGGAUUAUGGAAUAGAAAACGGGAAGAGAUUACUUAAGGAGGAUGAUAGGAGAAUGCUAUUGCAGAUGUUGUGUUAAUUGCUUUAACGGGAAGUGGUGUGUAGUAUUGCGAAAAUACCUCAAUGAGUAUCCUAUUAGAGACUGAGAUCUCUAAGGAAAAUGAGAGGAGUAAGUACUAGUAAUGUGUACUUAUCUAUUUUGACAAGCAUAUGAGUAUUUGGUUUUAAAGUUGAUUUACUAAGUCAUAAGAUUUUGAAGCUUUGUUAUUGCUUUGUUGUCAUUAUGAUGACUUAUCUUAAUUUCUGAGGUUGAUCUUGAUGGUUUAUAACCAUUAAGGAGAUUGAGUUUAACUUGUGAUUUCGUCGAGUCAAUUGCUUGAGAGUGUAGCUUUAGACUUGGAAAGUAGGUAGCUCAAUUAGUGAUUAUGUUAUGUGUACUUAUGAAGGGUAUGAAUAACGGAAGCGCUUGACGACGAAGCCAAAGAACAGACGGAAGUGAGCCAACACGGGAAAGCAAAGAUAUGACUGGAUUUGAUUUGAGUCGCAACUUAGUAAGGAAAGCGCCUAAGACGACGAAAGGAGGUGAUGUGAGCAGAUGCUACUCCACUUGGAAGAUCUAUAGAAGACUCGAAGAAUAGAGUCGGGUGUAGGGCUAGAGCCUUUGGGUAGAAAAGAUUACCGUUAUUGGUUUAAGCUUGCAGGAUCAUUUUAUGAUUUGUAUUUAAGGUUUCGGGUAGGUUCCGGUGCAUUGCUUUCCUAUGGUUACUCAGUGUGGAAAUCAUAGGGAGUAUAUCGGAUUUAUGGAGUCAUUGCAUAGUGAGUCCGUUGUUGGAUCUUAGUUUAUUUGUCAUGUACUCUAUGCUGUGCCUUGAUCGAGGCCAGAUGUAAAUUAUUUACGGUUGGGAGUAUGCAUUACAUAUUUUAGAAA
Lotus japonicus is the source of this 3607-nucleotide long non-coding RNA. RefSeq lists it as uncharacterized. The transcript is spliced from 2 exons. The record is from RefSeq and is a predicted model, not a curated record. Lineage: Eukaryota; Viridiplantae; Streptophyta; Magnoliopsida; Fabales; Fabaceae.